AUUCCUGUGGCUCAGUUGGUAGAGCAUGGUGUUUGCAACGCCAGGGUUGUGGGUUCGAUUCCCACGGGGGGCA
Molecule: transfer RNA, 73 nt
Filed under: Salmo salar (Atlantic salmon)
Lineage: Eukaryota; Metazoa; Chordata; Actinopteri; Salmoniformes; Salmonidae
Rfam family: tRNA
About the family: Transfer RNA (tRNA) molecules are approximately 80 nucleotides in length. Their secondary structure includes four short double-helical elements and three loops (D, anti-codon, and T loops). Further hydrogen bonds mediate the characteristic L-shaped molecular structure. tRNAs have two regions of fundamental functional importance: the anti-codon, which is responsible for specific mRNA codon recognition, and the 3' end, to which the tRNAs corresponding amino acid is attached (by aminoacyl-tRNA synthetases). tRNAs cope with the degeneracy of the genetic code in two manners: having more than one tRNA (with a specific anti-codon) for a particular amino acid; and 'wobble' base-pairing, i.e. permitting non-standard base-pairing at the 3rd anti-codon position.
Source: Rfam by way of RNAcentral